AUGAGGAAGAAGCUAGUGGAAAUGGGAAAAGAGCGACCCUUUUCCCGCUGUCCACAAGGCGAUCAUUGGAAUCCGUUGCAACUUGAGCGUGGCUGUCGUUGCAUGUGUGGGUGUGGAGGUAGCGGCAGCCCGGCCCCCACUUCCUACAAGGGGUAUAUGCCCCCGUCCAAAUGGCUCUUCCCAAUGCAGUCACAUCAGCUUUUUAUACGUGUAACAGAAAAAUCAAAUAAACAUCCAGUAGAAGCAGAGCAAGAGCAGAGCCUAGCUAGCACAACCACCCUCCUGUUGAGACGCUCUAUCUUGCUCACGAUGGACAAGGUGAAGAGCCAUGGCAGCAAGCACAAGGGAUCAGGAGGAGUAGGAGGGGGGCUGAGCAAGAUGCUGAGGCAACACAAGGCCAGGCUCUACAUCAUCCGCCGAUGCGUCGUCAUGCUCCUCUCCUCUUGA
RNAcentral lists this ribosomal RNA (447 nucleotides) under Triticum aestivum (bread wheat). RNAcentral's name for it is "partial small subunit ribosomal RNA". Lineage: Eukaryota; Viridiplantae; Streptophyta; Magnoliopsida; Poales; Poaceae. The record is from RNAcentral.